This 468-nucleotide ribosomal RNA is filed under the name uncultured Paludibacter sp. RNAcentral describes it as "bacterial SSU rRNA". It matches the Rfam family "Bacterial small subunit ribosomal RNA", at positions 916 to 1381 of the family's 1533-position model. Lineage: Bacteria; Pseudomonadati; Bacteroidota; Bacteroidia; Bacteroidales; Paludibacteraceae. The record is from RNAcentral.
GACGGGGCCCGCACAAGCGGAGGAACAUGUGGUUUAAUUCGAUGAUACGCGAGGAACCUUACCUGGGCUCGAACGCGGGGGAAUAUAGGGGAAACCUUAUAGCUAGCAAUAGCCGCCUGCGAGGUGCUGCAUGGUUGUCGUCAGCUCGUGCCGUGAGGUGUCGGCUUAAGUGCCAUAACGAGCGCAACCCCUAUUGUUAGUUGCCAGCGGGUCAUGCCGGGGACUCUAACAAAACUGCCAGCGUAAGCUGUGAGGAAGGCGGGGAUGACGUCAAAUCAGCACGGCCCUUACGUCCAGGGCUACACACGUGUUACAAUGGCCGGUACAGAGGGCAGCUACCCCGUAAGGGGAUGCGAAUCUCUAAAGCCGGUCCCAGUUCGGAUUGAAGUCCGCAACUCGACUUCAUGAAGUUGGAGUUGCUAGUAAUCGCGGAUCAGCAAUGCCGCGGUGAAUACGUUCCCGGGCCUU